CCUACGGGGGGCAGCAGUGAGGAAUAUUGGUCAAUGGACGAGAGUCUGAACCAGCCAAGCAGCGUGAAGGAUGACUGCCCUAUGGGUUGUAAACUUCUUUUAUAUGGGAAUAAAAUGUUCCACGUGUGGGAGUUUGUAUGUACCAUAUGAAUAAGGAUCGGCUAACUCCGUGCCAGCAGCCGCGGUAAUACGGAGGAUCCGAGCGUUAUCCGGAUUUAUUGGGUUUAAAGGGUGCGCAGGCGGAAGAUCAAGUCAGCGGUAAAAUUGAGAGGCUCAACCUCUUCGCGCCGUUGAAACUGGUAGUCUUGAGUGAGUGAGAAGUAUGCGGAAUGCGUGGUGUAGCGGUGAAAUGCGUAGAUAUUAGGAAGAACACCAGUGGCGAAGGCGGCCUGCUGGACGACAACUGACGGUGAGGCGCGAAAGCGUGGGGAGCAAACAGGAUUAGAUACCCGUGUAGUC
RNAcentral lists this ribosomal RNA (459 nucleotides) under uncultured bacterium. RNAcentral's name for it is "partial 16S ribosomal RNA". It matches the Rfam family "Bacterial small subunit ribosomal RNA", at positions 338 to 795 of the family's 1533-position model. The record is from RNAcentral.